GGCAUUCGGUCCUCAGGAACGACAAGAGACAUUUCCAGUUUUUGUAAAGGGAUCCCAAGAGAAGAGAUCCAGCUUCUUGGUGAAUAAUGUUGUUUCACAGCAACUGUUGAGUUUUCUUAUCCUUUUAUUUGAGGAGGCAUCAUCUUGUGCUCAUCAGGAGCUUGAACCUUGUGCCAGAGGCUUGUUUGACUAAUAAGAAUGGUGAUGCAAAUGGAAAUACCCCAUAACCACUUAAGAGAACACUGUUCGGAUGUUCUAUGCCUUUGAAGGACCUUUGGUUUUAUCUGUGUGCCUUGGACUUUUGCUUCAUUUGUCUGUGUGGACCAUGGUCAGCUGUGGAGCAUCCCCCUGGUACCCCAACUCGCCCUUUGAAGGCAGCUGAGAACAGGCACUGCUUUAUUGCCCUCCUUGCUUGUCGCACAGGUGCCCCAUGUGCUUCCCAAGCCACAAUCCAUUCCAGCUCUGGCCAUGAGCACUAAUCUGUCCCAGCAGCGUGUAUUGUUUCAAUGUUAAUGUUGAAACAUGUGCUACAGCACUUCUUUUCUACUUUUUUUAAACAAACCCCAAACAAACCCUAAUUGCAGUCUUUGCGGUUGGGCUCCCUCUCCAGCACAACAAGUGACAACUUGACACAUUCUGCUCAAGACACACAAGCAUUGUCUUGGCCAACCCCACAUACCAGCCAAGCCUUUUCAUCCUCUCCAUAAAAUCUCUUGCUAUUAGUGUUGUGUUUGGAUCUCGUUAUUCCUCUGUGGACAAGGAGUUCUGCAAGUAGGAGGUCUUCAGAUGGCCAUGCUUCUCCAUCGUGCAGUCUUUCUCCUGGGUUGUAAAGUCAGCAGCUGUAUGUUGACUUUCCAGGGGUGAGGAUGCAGUAUGAGCCUUUUCUUGUAACCUGGCAUUGGGCUGUGCCAAGGUGUCAUGUUCACUCAAGUGUCCUUCACUCUGAAAUGAUUUGGAUACUCUCCUGGCAGAUACGACCCAUGUUUGACCUGACUGAUUCAAUAAACACCAUGGUAUGUACACAGGAGUGAGUGUUAAGUAGUACCUUGUUGUCAGAUGCCUGCAUCUCUGCCUGUGACCCAUGGACUGAUGGAUGUCCCUGGUGAUGAGACAUUGGAAGUGAGUUGGAUGCGGGUAGCACUAUGAGGGACCUGGGAGUUAUUCUAUUAGAGAAUGUGAGAGACUCAAAUACUAUGGGGAGGAGGUGGGCUGGGGAGAGACACUAUCUGCUGUUCCUGAAGGAACAUCUUUCCCAAGCAGUUGGGGAGACACUGAGCUAACCCAAAGCAAGUUUAGCUGUUGCAGUGGUGAAACCAUUCCAUAAAUGUAUUCAUCCACAUGCAUUUACCUUGCUCUGUUUUGGGGCUGUAUGAGUGGGAAGUCACAGCGGUUGUGGGUAUCUGCAACUCCUGUCUUCUCUGUUUCGACAUUGUUAUGAAUUUAAAGCCAAAAACUGUAUGUCUGAUCCUGUUUUGGAAGUGAGUUGCUGUGGUUAUACAAGUAGAAACUUUACAGCAGUUCCCUUCCUUGCAUGGGUCCUGCUUCUAUCUCCCCCCCCUCAGUGCGUGUCUUCUCACUGCAGGUUUUGGAAGCAUCUGCUGGAGAGGUACAAGCUUAGCUCUUGUGUCAAACAGAGAAGUUAGCUCCUUUUCUGAAUUUCGAGGAAAUAGGCACUGAUUAUUUUGGGGUGUACAGAAAAUAUAUCUACUUCAAUGUAUGUACUGUAAAUUUCUAAUUUAUCACUGUAAAAAAAAAAAAAA
Molecule: long non-coding RNA, 1760 nt
Organism: Strigops habroptila (Kakapo)
Lineage: Eukaryota; Metazoa; Chordata; Aves; Psittaciformes; Psittacidae
Source: Ensembl